This 253-nucleotide ribosomal RNA is filed under the name uncultured microorganism. RNAcentral's name for it is "partial 16S ribosomal RNA". It matches the Rfam family "Bacterial small subunit ribosomal RNA", at positions 524 to 776 of the family's 1533-position model. The record is from RNAcentral.
UACGGAGGGUGCGAGCGUUAUUCGGAAUCACUGGGCGUAAAGGGCGCGUAGGCGGCCUGGUAAGUCAGGGGUGAAAUCCCACGGCUCAACCGUGGAAUUGCCUUUGAAACUGCUGGGCUUGGAUCCUGGAGAGGGUGGCGGAAUUCCUGGUGUAGGAGUGAAAUCCGUAGAUAUCAGGAGGAACACCAGAGGCGAAGGCGGCCACCUGGGCCAAGACUGACGCUGAGGUGCGAAAGCGUGGGGAGCAAACAGG